CCCUUAGAGUUUGAUCCUGGCUCAGGACGAACGCUGGCGGCGCGCUUAACACAUGCAAGUCGAGCGAGAACCAGGCCUUCGGGCCUGGGGAAAGCGGCGAACGGGUGAGUAACACGUGAGUAACCUGCCCUCGGCACCGGGAUAGCCCGGGGAAACCCGGAUUAAUACCGGAUAGCCAUUCGUGCUCUCGGGCGCGAAUGAAAAGGUAGCUUCGGCCUCUGGCCGAGGAUGGGCUCGCGGCGGAUUAGCUUGUUGGUGGGGUAAUGGCCCACCAAGGCGACGAUCCGUAGCUGGUCUGAGAGGACGAUCAGCCACACUGGGACUGAGACACGGCCCAGACUCCUACGGGAGGCAGCAGUGGGGAAUCUUGCGCAAUGGGCGAAAGCCUGACGCAGCGACGCCGCGUGCGGGAAGAAGGCCUUCGGGUUGUAAACCGCUUUCAGGAGGGACGAAGCCACUCGGGUGAAUAGCCCAGAGGGUGACGGUACCUCCAGAAGAAGCCCCGGCUAACUACGUGCCAGCAGCCGCGGUAAUACGUAGGGGGCAAGCGUUGUCCGGAUUUAUUGGGCGUAAAGAGCGUGUAGGCGGCCAGACAGGUCCGUUGUGAAAACUCGAGGCUCAACCUCGAGAUGUCGAUGGAAACCGUCUGGCUAGAGUCCGGAAGAGGAGUGUGGAAUUCCUGGGUGUAGCGGUGAAAUGCGCAGAUAUCAGAAGA
This 715-nucleotide ribosomal RNA is filed under the name uncultured bacterium. Its description in RNAcentral is "bacterial SSU rRNA". It matches the Rfam family "Bacterial small subunit ribosomal RNA", at positions 1 to 705 of the family's 1533-position model. The record is from RNAcentral.